CUAGGGUACAAAUUGAAUUUCAUCAUGUGUUAGCCAAUGAUAUAGUAAUAGAAUAGGGAUAUUUUUUUUUUGCCUUGAGGCUUUGUUAUCUGCUUCUUUGUGUAUUCUAAAGAGCCGGAGUUCUUAAAAACAGCACUGCAAGCGUUCAGCUAAAAAAUGCCCUUUUGUAGCCUUUUCAGAUUAUAGCCCUUCUAUACAAUGUAUUCAGUCAACUUUCUUCCUGUUUCCCUAUCAGUUAAAUUUAGGACUAUUGUCUUGGUCUAUUAAUGUGAUAGAAUAUCUAGGAAAGUCAAUGACUAUUUACAAAACUGGCACCUACCAUGUCUGCGAAACUCUCAGCCAAACCGGUGCAGCCAUCUGAAAACAGCCAGCCCCCCUGUUUGCCUGACACUUCGUGCCAAAUUCAGACUCCGUGUUCUCACAGCAGAGGCCACCCUUGUUUAUGGGAUGCCUGAUGUCCUUCCAGAUGCUCAGUAUCUAGAGAAGGAGGAAUGAAGGAACAACUGUCUCCAGGGACUUCUGUUGAAGGCUUUGUGCCUGCUAUGUGUGCUGGUUUCAGCAGUGAGCCAGGUGAGGAGGCCAAGCUUGUAGAGAAAAAUUUAAAAGCGAAUGCGUUUUCUGGGUAGUAGCAUAAACCUUAGAGCUGGCUCCCAGUUUCUUCACCAGACGCUUCAAUGCCUAGUGAAGGUGGGAUUUAUGCAAACUAUUCUAGUUUUGGCAGUGGCUUCAGGGGGAUAAACGUUAUUCCAGCACAUAGCUGGUUUGAAACUUUCACCUUAAAUAACCAAAUAUAAAUUAGAUGUCCAGGACAUUACCUGCCACACUCAACAUCAGUUGCAAGCGGAUCAGAUUUAAGUUGAAAUGAGGAAAUAGUAAUCUGGAACACUGCUUGCUUUCAAAGCAAGCUUCAGUGCCAGGCCCUGCCUCAACCUCCAUUGCCAGGCCAGGAGUGGUAAUGCAAUAUCAUUUAGGUCUCUGGGCUACAGAAUAAAAGCUUCUCCAUGUGUUAGACUUCUACUGUU
Molecule: long non-coding RNA, 1022 nt
Filed under: Numida meleagris (helmeted guineafowl)
Lineage: Eukaryota; Metazoa; Chordata; Aves; Galliformes; Numididae
Description: lncRNA (ENSNMEG00000014781.1)
Source: RNAcentral